AGCAUGUUAUAAUGCGCAGCGGAAGCUAGGGAUUUUAAAAAAUUUCUUAAUAAAGUCCCUUAACAUGAAACCCUUAUUAGCCUAGAUCACCUUAAUGGUAACAAUCAAAUAACAUAUAAAUAUAAAUAUAGGAAUAGAAGAAUACCUUUAUCGCUAAAUCCAAGUUUGUAGAAUCUCCACGAGGCGUCCAAGUGUCCGCCCUCCAACGGUGAUCCACACGAAAACUUAAUUCAAGUCUU
This 239-nucleotide long non-coding RNA is filed under the name Phoenix dactylifera (date palm). RNAcentral's name for it is "long non-coding RNA (PDAC_LNC013522)". The record is from RNAcentral. Lineage: Eukaryota; Viridiplantae; Streptophyta; Magnoliopsida; Arecales; Arecaceae.